UUCUAAGGGCGGUGAAGUCAGACCGGAAGGACUGGUGGAGCGCUUAGAAGUGAGAAUGCCGGUAUGAGUAGCGAAAGAAGGGUGAGAAUCCCUUCCACCGAAUAUCUAAGGUUUCCUGAGGAAGGCUCGUCCGCUCAGGGUUAGUCGGGACCUAAGCCGAGGCCGAUAGGCGUAGGCGAUGGACAACAGGUAGAGAUUCCUGUACCAGUGCUAAUUGUUUAACCGAUGGGGUGACACAGAAGGAUAGGGAAUCGCACGAAUGGAAAUGUGCGUCCAAGCAGUGAGUGUGAGAAGUAGGCAAAUCCGCUUCUCGCGAAGCAUGAGCUGUGAUGGGGAAGGAAAUUAAGUACGGAAGUUCCUGAUUUCACGCUGUCAAGAAAAGCCUCUAGGAAGAGUAGUACUGCCCGUACCGCAAACCGACACAGGUAGAUGAGGAGAGAAUCCUAAGGUGAGCGAGAGAACUCUCGUUAAGGAACUCGGCAAAAUGACCCCGUAACUUCGGGAGAAGGGGUGCUCUAUUAGGGUGCAAGCCCGAGAGAGCCGCAGUGAAUAGGCCCAGGCGACUGUUUAGCAAAAACACAGGUCUCUGCAAAACCGUAAGGUGACGUAUAGGGGCUGACGCCUGCCCGGUGCUGGAAGGUUAAGAGGAGUGCUUAGCUUCGGCGAAGGUACGAAUUGAAGCCCCAGUAAACGGCGGCCGUAACUAUAACGGUCCUAAGGUAGCGAAAUUCCUUGUCGGGUAAGUUCCGACCCGCACGAAAGGCGCAACGAUCUGGGCACUGUCUCAACGAGAGACUCGGUGAAAUUAUAGUACCUGUGAAGAUGCAGGUUACCCGCGACAGGACGGAAAGACCCCGUGGAGCUUUACUGCAACCUGAUAUGGAAUGUUUGUACCGCUUGUACAGGAUAGGUAGGAGCCGAAGAGACGUG
This 930-nucleotide ribosomal RNA is filed under the name Listeria monocytogenes. Its description in RNAcentral is "partial 23S ribosomal RNA". It matches the Rfam family "Bacterial large subunit ribosomal RNA", at positions 1239 to 2166 of the family's 2925-position model. The record is from RNAcentral. Lineage: Bacteria; Bacillati; Bacillota; Bacilli; Caryophanales; Listeriaceae.